Molecule: ribosomal RNA, 406 nt
Filed under: uncultured bacterium
Lineage: Bacteria
Description: partial 16S ribosomal RNA
Rfam family: Bacterial small subunit ribosomal RNA
Source: RNAcentral
AUUGAACGCUGGCGGCAGGCUUAACACAUGCAAGUCGAGCGAGAGGCGGACGGGUGAGUAAUUUCUGGGAAACUGCCUGAUGGAGGGGGAUAACAAAUGGAAAAGGUAGCUAAUAUCGCAUACCAGAAGAUGUGACCAGAUGGGAUUAGCUAGUAGGUGGGGUAAGGGCUCACCUAGGCGACGAUCACUAGCUGGUCUGAGAGGAUGACCAGCCACACUGGAACUGAGACACGGUCCAGACUCCUACGGGAGGCAGCAGUGGGGAAUAUUGCACAAUGGGCGCAAGCCUGAUGCAGCCAUGCCGCGUGUGUGAAGAAGGCCUUCGGGUUGUAAAGCACUUGCAGCGAGGAGGCGUUACUCGCAGAAGAAGCACCGGCUAACUCCGUGCCAGCAGCCGCGGUAAUAC